GGGCCUGCCCUGCAGGCUCACCAAGAGCCUACUUUGCCAGAACUCCCAGGAUUGGCCACUGGAGAGGCCAUUGGACAGUGCCUGGGGACGCCGGCCCUACACAGAUCACCCACUGUGAGCCCAGGCUAACAGUCUACAUCUCAGGCGCGAUUGCGGGCCUUUACCAAUCAGACAGCCGGUGAAGUCUUCACCGCGGGUUAUCAGCCUCGCGCCACGGGAGACCACGCCACCAUCGCGCAGGACCCAGACCUGUCACCCUUUUUCUCCGCCCUGGUCCCGCAGGAAGCAGCCACAGAAAAGAGGCCUCCGCCCCUAUUCCACAAUAAAGUCAAGAGUCUGGAAUGACAGAGUUCUCUGCUGGAUAAAAUGGCCCUGCCUACAGGGAGCAGUCACUCCAGAGAGAACAAAGACCUGCUUUCUCCCGCCCCGCCCCGCUUGUAGCCAAUCAUCUGCCUCCACCGCAAGCCCCAGCCCCUGGUUGCUGCUCUCGCCAUUGUUCGAGACCACCCGGCAGCUCUGACCCUUAAUAAGGGCUCCGCCUUGG
This 544-nucleotide long non-coding RNA is filed under the name Heterocephalus glaber (naked mole-rat). Its description in RNAcentral is "lncRNA (ENSHGLG00000045082.1)". The record is from RNAcentral. Lineage: Eukaryota; Metazoa; Chordata; Mammalia; Rodentia; Bathyergidae.